GCCUGAUGCAGCAACGCCGCGUGGUGGGAUGACGGCCUUCGGGUUGUAAACCUCUUUUAGCAGGGAAGAAGCGAAAGUGACGGUACCUGCAGAAAAAGCACCGGCUAACUACGUGCCAGCAGCCGCGGUAAUACGUAGGGUGCAAGCGUUGUCCGGAAUUAUUGGGCGUAAAGAGCUCGUAGGCGGUUUGUCGCGUCUGCUGUGAAAACGCGAGGCUCAACCUCGCGCCUGCAGUGGGUACGGGCAGACUUGAGUGCGGUAGGGGAGAUUGGAAUUCCUGGUGUAGCGGUGGAAUGCGCAGAUAUCAGGAGGAACACCGAUGGCGAAGGCAGAUCUCUGGGCCGUUACUGACGCUGAGGAGCGAAAGCGUGGGGAGCGAACAGGAUUAGAUACCCUGGUAGUCCACGCCGUAAACGUUGGGAACUAGAUGUGGGGUCCAUUCCACGGAUUCCGUGUCGCAGCUAACGCAUUAAGUUCCCCGCCUGGGGAGUACGGCCGCAAGGCUAAAACUCAAAGGAAUUGACGGGGGCCCGCACAAGCGGCGGAGCAUGCGGAUUAAUUCGAUGCAACGCGAAGAACCUUACCAAGGCUUGACAUGCACCUGAAAAGGCUGGAAACAGUCUCCUCGCAAGACA
RNAcentral lists this ribosomal RNA (635 nucleotides) under Amnibacterium sp. Ri2Pw_5975. Its description in RNAcentral is "bacterial SSU rRNA". It matches the Rfam family "Bacterial small subunit ribosomal RNA", at positions 381 to 1028 of the family's 1533-position model. The record is from RNAcentral. Lineage: Bacteria; Bacillati; Actinomycetota; Actinomycetes; Micrococcales; Microbacteriaceae.